UUUCCAUCUCACAAAUCGACUCAGGCAGGCUGUUCUAGAUCAACUCAUACAAACUUUGUUAGAGACACUUGACAACAGUUAUGCUAAAACAUCCUGAGAUAUAUUGCAUGGCCUGGCAGCCCAAAGCCUGGACCCUGGGACAACUGUACCUGGUGGUCGCCUGCCGAUGACAUCACCUGGUCUUGGGUGUGGAAGCCUCCAACAACCGAAGACAACAGACACCAUGGUCACUAUUGACCCCAACCAUGCUGUGCCCACUGACCACCAGAGGAGGCUGGUAAGGUGAGAAUAAUAAGGGCUGGAAUGAAGUGAGUGGAAAUGUACCUGUGUGUUUGAUGUGUUUGAUACCAUUCUAUUCAUUUUAUUCCAGCCAUUUUUAUGAGCCUGUCCUCCAUGCCACCAGCCACCACUGCUGACCACAUACCAGAGACCAGACAAACAGUCUAACUGGCAACCCACGGAUACAUUAGUCUGGUCCCAGAUCUGUGCGUGCUUUAGCCAACUCCUUUAGAUAUACAUGACAUGACAAUGACAGUCAGAAGAGUUGGUUUAAACAGAUCUGAAUCAGGAAAAUAAGAGUUGGUUUGAACAGAUCUGAAUCAGGAAACUAAGAGUUGGUUUAAACAGAUCUGAAUCAGGAAAAUAAGAGUUGGUUUGAACAGAUCUGAAUCAGUACACUAAGAGUUGGUUGAAACAGAUCUGAAUCAGGAAACUAAGAGUUGGUUUAAACAGAUCUGAAUCAGGAAAAUAAGAGUUGGUUUGAACAGAUCUGAAUCAGGAAACUAAGAGUUGGUUUAAACAGAUCUGAAUCAGGAAAAUAAGAGUUGGUUUGAACAGAUCUGAAUCAGUACACUAAGAGUUGGUUGAAACAUGUCUGAAUCAGGAAACUAAGAGUUGGUUUAAACAGAUCUGAAUCAGGAAAAUAAGAGUUGGUUUAAACAGAUCUGAAUCAGGACACUAAGAGUUGGUUUAAACAGAUCUGAAUCAGGAAACUAAGAGUUGGUUGAAACAGAUCUGAAUCAGGACACUAAGAGUUGGUUUAAACAGAUCUGAAUCAGGAAACUAAGAGUUGGUUGAAACAGAUCUGAAUCAGGACACUAAGAGUUGGUUUAAACAGAUCUGAAUCAGGAAACUAAGAGUUGGUUGAAACAGAUCUGAAUCAGGAAAAUAAGAGUUGGUUUAAAUAGAUCUGAAUCAGGACACUAAGAGUUGGUUUGAACAGAUCUGAAUCAGGACACUAAGAGUUGGUUUGAACAGAUCUGAAUCAGGACACUAAGAGUUGGUUUAAACAGAUCUGAAUCAGGACACUAAGAGUUGGUUUGAGGGUGUCAAUAAUUUGGGACCCCACUGUAUACUUCAAAGUUAGAGAUAUGUUGAAACUGGAUCCAUCAUAAUGAUUCUAUAUGUUAUAAUCUGCCAUGGCCUUUACUGGCCAAAGGUUAAACUACUGUUAUGUUUAUGAUAUACUAUGGUGUUUUAUCACUAGACUUUGACCAGAUAUUAUUGCAUCCAAAGAGCAACUGUACCUAAAACAUAGAUACAGAGCCACUUGUCAUCAGGAAGGUGCUCCCUCAGCACAACGGACAAUAUCUCAAUGACUUGACAUGUUCUGGUUGUGAAUUCAGGCUACAAGUUGUCAGUGCUCUGAAAUGAGUCUCUCUGGGGACAGAGAGGAGGGGGGCCCUGCCUCUAAAAUGAGUCUCUCUGGGGAACAUGACACCAAGGCUAAGAGCCCAAUCAAGCAGGAGAGACCAGCCUCCCCUGUACCCAGCUGUGUGUCCAUGAAGAGUGACCAGUCUAUGGAGCUACCUAUACUCUUUAGAGAGGGAGACUUUUCUACUGAACAAAG
This is a non-coding RNA of Salmo salar (Atlantic salmon), 1849 nucleotides long. NCBI's taxonomy places the organism in Eukaryota, Metazoa, Chordata, Actinopteri, Salmoniformes, Salmonidae. The record is from RefSeq and is a predicted model, not a curated record.